UAGGGAAUCUUCCGCAAUGGGCGAAAGCCUGACGGAGCAACGCCGCGUGAGUGAUGAAGGUCUUCGGAUCGUAAAACUCUGUUAUUAGGGAAGAACAAAUGUGUAAGUAACUAUGCACGUCUUGACGGUACCUAAUCAGAAAGCCACGGCUAACUACGUGCCAGCAGCCGCGGUAAUACGUAGGUGGCAAGCGUUAUCCGGAAUUAUUGGGCGUAAAGCGCGCGUAGGCGGUUUUUUAAGUCUGAUGUGAAAGCCCACGGCUCAAACGUGGAGGGUCAUUGGAAACUGGAAAACUUGAGUGCAGAAGAGGAAAGUGGAAUUCCAUGUGUAGCGGUGAAAUGCGCAGAGAUAUGGAGGAACACCAGUGGCGAAGGCGACUUUCUGGUCUGUAACUGACGCUGAUGUGCGAAAGCGUGGGGAUCAAACAGG
This 429-nucleotide ribosomal RNA is filed under the name Actinomycetes bacterium. RNAcentral describes it as "Actinobacteria bacterium partial 16S ribosomal RNA". It matches the Rfam family "Bacterial small subunit ribosomal RNA", at positions 355 to 776 of the family's 1533-position model. Lineage: Bacteria; Bacillati; Actinomycetota; Actinomycetes. The record is from RNAcentral.